GAUGAACGCUGGCGGCGUGCCUAAUACAUGCAAGUCGAGCGAACAGACGAGGAGCUUGCUCCUCUGACGUUAACGGCGGACGGGUGAGUAACACGUGGAUAACCUACCUAUAAGACUGGGAUAACUUCGGGAAACCGGAGCUAAUACCGGAUAAUAUAUUGAACCGCAUGGUUCAAUAGUGAAAGACGGUUUUGCUGUCACUUAUAGAUGGAUCCGCGCCGCAUUAGCUAGUUGGUAAGGUAACGGCUUACCAAGGCAACGAUGCGUAGCCGACCUGAGAGGGUGAUCGGCCACACUGGAACUGAGACGCGGUCCAGACUCCUACGGGCGGCAGCAGUAGGGAAUCUUCCGCAAUGGGCGAAAGCUUGACGGAGCAACGCCGCGUGAGUGAUGAAGGUCUUCGGAUCGUAAAACUCUGUUAUUAGGGAAGAACAAAUGUGUAAGUAACUAUGCACGUCUUGACGGUACCUAAUCAGAAAGCCACGGCUAACUACGUG
This 497-nucleotide ribosomal RNA is filed under the name uncultured bacterium. Its description in RNAcentral is "partial 16S ribosomal RNA". It matches the Rfam family "Bacterial small subunit ribosomal RNA", at positions 28 to 507 of the family's 1533-position model. The record is from RNAcentral.